AAUAAAAUAAAACUUAAAAUUUCUAUAGUACUCAAGAAACUCUAUUAUAUUAGCAUUUCACAACUUAAAAUGCUUGGUCUAAAACUUUUUUGGUCAUUAAGCAACUCUCACAUAGUCUUCUUUUUAUCUUGUUUAUGAAGAAACAAGAUUGAGGUUAUCUUCAAUCUUAUCAAUACAUUAUUUAUAUUCUAGUCAUGAUUUAAAAUUUUAUAGUUUUUUUGUAGUGGUUAUUAGUCACUUUGGAUUAUUUUUUUAAUAAAUUUAUGUUCUUUUGGUUUGAUUUGUUUGUUUUGUUUGAUUUUUUAUUUAUUUAAGUUACUCAAGAUAUACAUUGUGUUAUUUUUGAGUCUCUCAAGAAUUAUAUCCUUGACAUUUAAAACUAACUAUA
Molecule: long non-coding RNA, 388 nt
Filed under: Physcomitrium patens
Lineage: Eukaryota; Viridiplantae; Streptophyta; Bryopsida; Funariales; Funariaceae
Description: long non-coding RNA (PPAT_LNC008278)
Source: RNAcentral